This 237-nucleotide ribosomal RNA is filed under the name uncultured bacterium. RNAcentral describes it as "partial 16S ribosomal RNA". It matches the Rfam family "Bacterial small subunit ribosomal RNA", at positions 15 to 245 of the family's 1533-position model. The record is from RNAcentral.
GAUCUGGCUCAGGAUGAACGCUAGCUACAGGCUUAACACAUGCAAGUCGAGGGGCAGCAUGAUUGAAGCUUGCUUCAAUUGAUGGCGACCGGCGCACGGGUGAGUAACACGUAUCCAACCUGCCGAUAACUCGGGGAUAGCCUUUCGAAAGAAAGAUUAAUACCCGAUAGUAUAGUAUUUCCGCAUGGUUUCACUAUUAAAGAAUUUCGGUUAUCGAUGGGGAUGCGUUCCAUUAGA